RNAcentral lists this ribosomal RNA (399 nucleotides) under uncultured bacterium. Its description in RNAcentral is "bacterial SSU rRNA". It matches the Rfam family "Bacterial small subunit ribosomal RNA", at positions 355 to 772 of the family's 1533-position model. The record is from RNAcentral.
UCGGGAAUUUUGGGCAAUGGGCGAAAGCCUGACCCAGCAACGCCGCGUGAAGGAUGAAGUAUUUCGGUAUGUAAACUUCGAAAGAAUAGGAAGAAUAAAUGACGGUACUAUUUAUAAGGUCCGGCUAACUACGUGCCAGCAGCCGCGGUAAUACGUAGGGACCAAGCGUUGUUCGGAUUUACUGGGCGUAAAGGGCGCGUAGGCGGCAAUUCAAGUCAUCUGUGAAAUCUCCGGGCUUAACUCGGAACGGUCAGAUGAUACUGCUUUGCUAGAGUGCAGAAGGGGCAAUCGGAAUUCUUGGUGUAGCGGUGAAAUGCGUAGAUAUCAAGAGGAACACCUGAGGCGAAGGCGGUUGCUGGGCUGAUACUGACGCUGAGGCGCGAAAGCUAGGGUAGCAAA